Molecule: long non-coding RNA, 904 nt
Organism: Amphibalanus amphitrite
Lineage: Eukaryota; Metazoa; Arthropoda; Thecostraca; Balanomorpha; Balanidae
Exons: 2
Source: RefSeq, a predicted model, not a curated record
AAAGAGUGGCGUGAGGACUUUCCCAAUUUUAAGAAGAAGGUGGCGCGCUGCGUGCGGCGGAGUCAAGAGGAGUGCUGAGUGGUGUUGCCGGCCCGAGGACCUGCUGCACUGGCGGCCCCGUGGAACUGCGCUGUGAUAGGACGAUCGCUGGGGCCGGGCGGGCCGGCCGCCGCUCGCCCUGGUCGCUGGCUAGUAGUCGGGGCCCGGCGCGCGACGGCGGCAGGAGGACCGUGCCGACGACCGACGGACGACGGACGACGGACCGACGUACGGACGGACGGAGGGCGGAGGACGGCGCGAACGGAGACGGACGGCGGACGGAGGGGACGGCACGGCGCUCGACCGGAGCCACGGCGGAGGGACAGGGACGGGACAGCCGGGAGCGGUGAGUGGGACAGCUGGGACGGAGUGCGGGGACGGACCGACGGACUGGGCAGUGCUGGGGGGUCCAGGAGGCGGCCGACGGGCGGUCUCGACCGCCGGCGCCGGCCAGCCGACUCGUCUUCUCGCGGCUCGCCGGCCGCCUGGUGACGGCAGCCGUCACUCGAAACUGUGGACUCAGCCGCCAGAUGGCAGUGAGCGUGCGGUGUGGUGAGUGCCGAGCGCGUGGCGUCGUCUUCUUACCUCAGUGUGGGUGUGAGUGUUGUGUCUUGUUGCGUGCUUAUUUCGCCGACUGGGGAGGGCUGGUGGCCGGCAGGCUCGGAUUGCUGAACAGAAUCAUCAGGCGCGAUCUGUGGCAUAAAAUAAUCUCUGCAUUUGAGCUCGUUAUUGGUCGUUUUGGUUUGGAAAUAAAUAGAAAGGUUUACGAGGAAGGUAAUUGCUCUCGCCUACCCUUGCCGCAUGUGUACAUGCCUGUAUGUAGUGGGGUAUUUUAUUUUCGGUGUGAAUAAAGUAAGAAUUUGUU